RNAcentral lists this non-coding RNA (25 nucleotides) under Mus musculus (house mouse). The record is from RNAcentral. Lineage: Eukaryota; Metazoa; Chordata; Mammalia; Rodentia; Muridae.
UUUGUUGUUGUUUUGUUUGCUUUCA